RNAcentral lists this ribosomal RNA (253 nucleotides) under uncultured bacterium. RNAcentral describes it as "partial 16S ribosomal RNA". It matches the Rfam family "Bacterial small subunit ribosomal RNA", at positions 524 to 776 of the family's 1533-position model. The record is from RNAcentral.
UACGUAGGGUGCGAGCGUUAAUCGGAAUUACUGGGCGUAAAGCGUGCGCAGGCGGCUUUGCAAGACAGAUGUGAAAUCCCCGGGCUCAACCUGGGAACUGCAUUUGUGGCUGCAAGGCUAGAGUACGGCAGAGGGGGAUGGAAUUCCGCGUGUAGCAGUGAAAUGCGUAGAUAUGCGGAGGAACACCAAUGGCGAAGGCAAUCCCCUGGGCAUGUACUGACGCUCAUGCACGAAAGCGUGGGGAGCAAACAGG